UAAUCUCAUAUUAACAUGGGAAUUUUGUCUCUAGAGCCCCAAGAGAUUGGAAGAGAGGGUCAGGACUCAUCUGAAGUGUCAGAUAAUUGGCUGCUGAGAAGGUGGACAAUGGGGGAUGAUUCCUGAUGAGGUCCUCAGGACAGAGGCAUUUUAAGUUGGGAAAGUUUUUUUUUUUCUUGAUUCUAGAAGGCAGCAUGGCAUCAUAGUGAAGAAUGAGGGUGUGCGUGCGUGUGUGAGGGGUGGAGGGGCGUGUGUAUGUAAUCAACUAUAC
Molecule: long non-coding RNA, 271 nt
Filed under: Pan troglodytes (chimpanzee)
Lineage: Eukaryota; Metazoa; Chordata; Mammalia; Primates; Hominidae
Description: long non-coding RNA NONPTRT011853
Source: RNAcentral